UGCCUGCAAAUAAAUGUACAAGGAAAGCAUGAGGCAGAAUAUGGAGGAAGAUGAGCCUGGAGAGAAAGGCUGAAGCAUCUUCCAAGCAUCUCUCUGAGAAGUACCUGGUGGUUGGUUUGCAAAAGAAAGCAGGCAAGGGACUUUGCUGUCAGCUUGAAGGAAAAGGAAAAUCAUCUGCUAUCUCCUGCAUCCUCUGGUUGGCUUCAGACAACAGCUCUCAGUGAACUUUCCAUGGUAUCUUCACCUCAAGGAACACAAAAGACUAUACAGAAGUUCAAGGGUAAAAAAGACACUGACUCCCCUUGGCCAGGUGGAUUACAGCGUCCCGAAGAACUUCAGAGUCUGAGGGAAUGCCUGAUUGGGAGAAAUGUGCUUGAGAGGGCAUUCUGCCCAACACAAGGGCCUCUCAAGUGCCCUUUGAUGGGUGCUGAGCAGGUAUAACUAUAAUGAGCCUUGAUCCCUUGCUUGAGUGAAUUCUACACCUGGACUCAAAUCCAUAAUGAAUCAUCAGCUGGUGUCCAAGUUACCCUCUCAGGAGGACAGCUGGGCGAAAAGGU
This is a long non-coding RNA of Rhinolophus ferrumequinum (greater horseshoe bat), 557 nucleotides long. RefSeq lists it as uncharacterized. The record is from RefSeq and is a predicted model, not a curated record. Lineage: Eukaryota; Metazoa; Chordata; Mammalia; Chiroptera; Rhinolophidae. The transcript has 4 exons.